RNAcentral lists this ribosomal RNA (422 nucleotides) under Verrucomicrobiota bacterium. RNAcentral describes it as "Verrucomicrobia bacterium partial 16S ribosomal RNA". It matches the Rfam family "Bacterial small subunit ribosomal RNA", at positions 355 to 776 of the family's 1533-position model. Lineage: Bacteria; Pseudomonadati; Verrucomicrobiota. The record is from RNAcentral.
UGGGGAAUUUUGCACAAUGGGCGCAAGCCUGAUGCAGCGACGCCGCGUGAGGGAUGAAGGCCUUCGGGUUGUAAACCUUUUUCGCUCAUGGUCAAGCCGCAGCUUUGGGUAGUGGUGAGGGUAGUGGGUAAAGAAGCGCCGGCUAACUACGUGCCAGCAGCCGCGGUAAUACGUAGGGCGCGAGCGUUGUCCGGAAUUAUUGGGCGUAAAGGGAUUGUAGGCGGUUGGCCGCGUCUGCCGUGAAAUCCUCUGGCUUAACUGGGGGCGUGCGGUGGGUACGGGUUGACUUGAGUGCGGUAGGGGAGACUGGAAUUCCUGGUGUAGCGGUGGAAUGCGCAGAUAUCAGGAGGAACACCGGUGGCGAAGGCGGGUCUCUGGGCCGUUAAUGACGCUGAGGAGCUAAAGCGUGGGGAGCUAACAGG